AGCUUUGCACAGUAACACUAUUAUAGCCAAUGAGGUUUAUCUGAAGUGUGAUUGUUGCUAAUUGAAAAUUUUUCCCAAUACCUCGCCAUGACAACUUGAAAUGUAGUCAGUAUUGGCAAUUUUUGACAGUCUUUAUGGAAA
Molecule: small nuclear RNA, 141 nt
Filed under: Propithecus coquereli (Coquerel's sifaka)
Lineage: Eukaryota; Metazoa; Chordata; Mammalia; Primates; Indriidae
Description: U4 spliceosomal RNA (ENSPCOG00000003344.1)
Rfam family: U4 spliceosomal RNA
About the family: U4 small nuclear RNA (U4 snRNA) is a component of the major U2-dependent spliceosome. The structure of U4 snRNA from yeast and human has been reported. U4 snRNA presents a k-turn RNA motif in the 5p-SL related to recognition of Snu13 protein.
Source: Rfam by way of RNAcentral